Long non-coding RNA from Gorilla gorilla gorilla (western lowland gorilla), 913 nucleotides. RefSeq lists it as uncharacterized. The transcript has 3 exons. The record is from RefSeq and is a predicted model, not a curated record. Lineage: Eukaryota; Metazoa; Chordata; Mammalia; Primates; Hominidae.
AUCCCCCCGCGCCGGCCGACGCGCCGGCCACCACGUCUCGAGUGCAGGCCCAGUUCACUGUAGAUGCGCUUCCGGCGGAGCCGAGGCCGGAAGCGGAAGAAGGGGACGCAGACCUGCAUCCAAGCUGUGCCACCUGAGACGUGGGCGGUCCCAGUGACCGGGAGCCGGAGCUCGAACGGGACGGGCGAACAGGAGCGCGGAGGGCUUCGCAGCGUCGGCGUCUGUGCGUGGGCCAAACAUCAGGGCUUCGACCAGGGAUACAAGGGCAACCACUAACUAGAUUCUCGAUUCCUGAUGGCUGGCGGCGGCUGACACCGAAGUGCCCGUGGGAGAGCAAGAUCGCGAGGCACGAGCUGUGAGGGCACACCGCCUCUCUUGGUCCUCCGAAGCAAAGACACUGAUGCUCCCAGAAGCUGCGGAAGGACCUGAGCAAGAGGAGCAGGCAGCACUGAAGCCCCCACUCCAUGUCGUCUCCUACCUGCUCCCUGGGCCAACCUGGCACCCAGUGCUCAUCCUCACCUGCCGUCUGACCUCCUCCAGUGUGUGGUGUGCGGGCUGCCCCAAACCCUCCAGUGUACAUGGUACAUACCUACCCACCUGCUGAAACCCAGGAUGCCUGUGAAACAAGAGCUGCUCCUGAUACUUAAGAUGACCUCUACUCUGCCAUCUGAUGGGAGUGGGAGAGGAGACACUGAAGAAUUCAUCGAAUAAAAUCCACAAAGCUUAAAAGAUCAAUACACAGGCCAGGCGCGGUGGCUGACGCCUGUAAUCCCAGCACUUUGGGAGGCUGACGAAGGCGGAUCAGAAGGUCAGGAGUUUGAGACCAGCCUGGCCAACAUAGUGAAACCCCAUCUCUAUUAAAAAUACAAAAAUUAGUUGGGUGUGCUGGCAUGCGCCUGUAGUUCCAGCUACU